Non-coding RNA from Physcomitrium patens, 1665 nucleotides. Lineage: Eukaryota; Viridiplantae; Streptophyta; Bryopsida; Funariales; Funariaceae. The record is from RefSeq and is a predicted model, not a curated record.
CUUAAUUUAUGAAUAUGUUUCUGCAAUGUUCAUAUAUCAAAGAAUUCAUACUAAAAGUAAAGUUUAAUAUAUAUGAAACAAUCUUGCAGAAUAGGAGGUUUUCUAUUUUUUUUAAGUCCAAUUAGCUGAGUAUUUUCUGUUACAUGUGAAGAAAUCCACAAAUAUUUCAUUACACAAGUAGAACAAACUGUCCAUACAAUCUUCUGUCAAUAUAAUAUCUUUACCAAAAAGGAUAAUUUUGAUAAAAUGCUAUUCUAAAAUUCAUAUAAAGAUAUGAUAUUUUUUUAUGUGAAUUUGUUUUCUCCAGGUUAUAAAAGAGAAAAAAAAAAUGAAAAAAAAAUGAAAAUAAUGAAGAAUUCAAACUCAAUGCAAAGCCAGUGAUAAUUUAAGUUCAUAACUCUCAAACCCUAAUGUAGCAAUCAGAGAUUAAAACCAUAACUUUAAAAAAUGCCAAACCCUAAAUCCGUAAAUUUCUGAAGUCUAGUCUUUAAAGCGUACUCUGCACCCAUCACCGCCCAGUGCCCAUCACCGUAUCGGAAGCGAUGGGAUCCAGAACCGUGCCGAGCCUCACCGAUCACGCCGCCAGGCAGACACGGAAAUCACUGACCCGCGCAGGAACGAUUGACCGAUGCAUCGACGAUCGUCGCAUCCUCGCUUCGACGACGUUUAAUCCCCAGUAAACGUCUAGAGACAGGACUCGUGUCUGAACCACGAGCGAAAUUGACGGCUUUCCAUUAUCGUUGGGUGUCGCUAAACACACGUCGCAUACGACUUUGCAGCAGCACUUCAAUGCGGUGUGGUCCACGGAAGAAGACGCCACCCUUCUCCAGCUGUGGCGCCAUUUUUCGAAAGCCACUCAUGCAUUGACUUUGUAGAAGGUGGCAGCUGGAGUUUUUCGAAUCGUGACUACUGCUUGUGCUCGUCGUGGCUGCAACUGGAGUCGCCAUCAAGCUAUCUGUUCCUCUCCAAAUCCUUUUUUUUACCUUGUGGAUUCGUUUCGGAAGCAGCUCCCUAUUCUUCGGUUUCUAUUAUGGGACAAGCGUGCUAAGGAGGUACUCAGUGGCUAUGGCUUCUAGAAGUCCUGAGCUUUGGUCUAAUUGUUGUGUUGGACAUGGUGUCCGAGUCCGACGGUGCAGCUGCAGUCUCCACGGACAGUCUUUUGGAAGGAAGCGUGGGCAACUCCACGGCUUCCAUUGGGCACCCCUAUCAGCAGAACUUGAGGAUAAUUUGGAACGUAGAAACGAGAUGGGUGAAUAGUCUUUGCUCGAAAUCCUUCAAUUCGUAUUGGAUGAGGGCAAGCUGCUUGAUGAAGAGUCACUUUCAGACACAGUGCAAUAAUUAAGAAUGCAGUGUGGGAUGCUGAACAGAGAAGCAGCAUCCAUAAUCUACAUCAACGGACUGGCACAGGCCCAGCGAGCACAUUGGUUAUGCAACGGUGACGGUAUGAACCCAAAAGCCUAUCGCCCUUUUGAACAGCAGGGGAUAAAAAGUUAGAAUGGCCAACAAAAGAAAACUGUCCCUUUCAUAGUCAAUAUGUGUUUUUUGGUCUAGGUAGCAGAGAUAGUUCAGCUAUCUACAUCAGUGCCCAAAUAAUUAUCUCUCCCUCGUGAAUGCUUCAAAAGAAAGAAUGUGCACGAUUCGACAUAUCCUCUUUUGCAUUGCUAA